Molecule: long non-coding RNA, 199 nt
Organism: Oncorhynchus nerka (sockeye salmon)
Lineage: Eukaryota; Metazoa; Chordata; Actinopteri; Salmoniformes; Salmonidae
Exons: 3
Source: RefSeq, a predicted model, not a curated record
AGGAGUUGAAAUGCACCUCUAUAACAUCCACCUGCCCUAGAGGUGACAGAACCAUUAGGAGAGAGAAAGAGGGAGAGGUAGAGCUGACAACUAAUAAUACAACAACAAAGACAGCAUCUACAACAACAGCAAACAUAAGGGAUGGACCAAACCUUGUUCCUCCUCCUCGUUUUCUCAGGGCUGUCCAUCCUCCCCUCAU